RNAcentral lists this transfer RNA (35 nucleotides) under Cinnyris venustus (variable sunbird). Its description in RNAcentral is "partial tRNA-Phe". The record is from RNAcentral. Lineage: Eukaryota; Metazoa; Chordata; Aves; Passeriformes; Nectariniidae.
GAUGUUAAGACGGUCGCUAUACGCAUCCAAAGACA